CGAGAGGAAGGGAGACAAACGAGGGAGGGACGGAGUGUGGAGGAGUCGGCCGAGAGGAGACACGCUCGGAAGCGAGAUGGACACGAAGGUUUGAUAUCCGGCGGAAGUAAUCGAGUUCGGGGAACCGAUUGGAGGCGGUGGACCAGCAGCGUCUAUCCACGAGACCCACGAUCCCCGCAAAUCGAUGGAAAUUGCUUUACGAACGGUCAACUCCUCGUGUACCGAAACGUGCAAACGCUACACACGCGUGGGACAACAAUCAUCGCGAGUGAAACAUUGAAUAUGAAUUGAAUCUGUUCAAGACGGCGCCGUAGACGGCGUAUAUUGAAUUACUACCGUCUGAAACGUGUAAUUCAAUAUUUGUUCGGAAAAGCGACCGAUAUUGAUUAUAAAAAAUACCAUUAAAGCAUG
Ceratina calcarata is the source of this 411-nucleotide long non-coding RNA. RefSeq lists it as uncharacterized. The transcript is spliced from 2 exons. The record is from RefSeq and is a predicted model, not a curated record. Lineage: Eukaryota; Metazoa; Arthropoda; Insecta; Hymenoptera; Apidae.